RNAcentral lists this ribosomal RNA (301 nucleotides) under uncultured bacterium. Its description in RNAcentral is "partial 16S ribosomal RNA". It matches the Rfam family "Bacterial small subunit ribosomal RNA", at positions 509 to 807 of the family's 1533-position model. The record is from RNAcentral.
CAGUAGCCGCGGUAAGACAGAGGAUGCAAGCGUUACCCGGAAUGAUUGGGCGUAAAGCGUCUGUAGGUGGCUUUUCAAGUCCGCCGUCAAAUCCCCGGGCUCAACCCUGGACAGGCAGUGGAAACUACCAAGCUGGAGUACGAUAGGGGCAGAGGGAAUUUCCGGUGGAGCGGUGAAAUGCGUUGAGAUCGGAAAGAACACCAACAGCGAAAGCACUCUGCUGGGCCGACACUGACACUGAGAGACGAAAGCUAGGGGAGCAAAUGGGAUUAGAUACCCGGGUAGUCCCUGUCUCUUAUAC